CGGCGUGCCUAACACAUGCAAGUCGUACGAGAAAGCCGGCUUCGGCUGGUGAGUAAAGUGGCGCACGGGUGAGUAACGCGUGGAUAAUCUGCCCUUAAGUGUGGAAUAACGUACCGAAAGGUGCGCUAAUACCGCAUAAUGCCUGGCAACACAAGUUGUCCGGCCAAAGAAGGCCUCUGUUUACAAGCUUUCGCUUCAGGAUGAGUCCGCGUACCAUUAGCUUGUUGGUGGGGUAAUGGCCUACCAAGGCUGCGAUGGUUAGCUGGUCUGAGAGGAUGAUCAGCCACACUGGAACUGAGACACGGUCCAGACUCCUACGGGAGGCAGCAGCGAGGAAUAUUGCGCAAUGGGGGCAACCCUGACGCAGCAACGCCGCGUGAGUGAGGAAGGUUUUCGGACUGUAAAGCUCUGUCGAGCGGGAAGAAGUGUACCAUGGCUAAUAUCCAUGAUAUUUGACGGUACCGCUAGAGGAAGCACCGGCUAACUCCGUG
Molecule: ribosomal RNA, 491 nt
Filed under: uncultured bacterium
Lineage: Bacteria
Description: bacterial SSU rRNA
Rfam family: Bacterial small subunit ribosomal RNA
Source: RNAcentral